RNAcentral lists this ribosomal RNA (403 nucleotides) under Verrucomicrobiota bacterium. RNAcentral's name for it is "Verrucomicrobia bacterium partial 16S ribosomal RNA". It matches the Rfam family "Bacterial small subunit ribosomal RNA", at positions 355 to 776 of the family's 1533-position model. The record is from RNAcentral. Lineage: Bacteria; Pseudomonadati; Verrucomicrobiota.
UGGGGAAUCUUGCACAAUGGGGGCAACCCUGAUGCAGCGACGCCGCGUGAGCGAUGAAGGUUUUCGAAUCGUAAAGCUCUGUCCUAUGGGAAGAUAAUGACGGUACCAUAGGAGGAAGCCCCGGCUAACUACGUGCCAGCAGCCGCGGUAAUACGUAGGGGGCGAGCGUUGUCCGGAAUUACUGGGCGUAAAGGGUUCGCAGGCGGCCUGGCAAGUCCGAUGUAAAAGGCGAAGGCUCAACCUUCGUAAGCAUCGGAAACUGUCAAGCUUGAGUGAAGGAGAGGAAAGUGGAAUUCCUAGUGUAGCGGUGAAAUGCGUAGAUAUUAGGAGGAAUACCGGUGGCGAAGGCGACUUUCUGGACUUUUACUGACGCUCAGGUACGAAAGCGUGGGGAGCAAACAGG